Molecule: long non-coding RNA, 351 nt
Organism: Peromyscus maniculatus bairdii (prairie deer mouse)
Lineage: Eukaryota; Metazoa; Chordata; Mammalia; Rodentia; Cricetidae
Source: RefSeq, a predicted model, not a curated record
AUAAUCAAGGGACUUGGACAAGAGCUCCAUAGUGGGCUAAGCUGAAGCGACAAGCAAUAGGAGGUGAUCUACAUGAGAGCACCUAAUUUCUAACAGAGCCCAUCUUCAUAUAAUGUUUCAAAUCACUAGAACCAAUGCUACCACGAAGGAGUUCUUCCAUUGCCAAGCAGGAUCUGCUGGAACUCCAAGGCCUUCUUCCUCAGGGACACUCAGAUGUGUUAUAACCACUAAGAAUCAGAUGAGCCCUGUAUUCUGUGUACUUCAAUGCUUCUGCUGGGACCUGAAAGCAUGAAACCACAAAUAACCUCUGAGAUCAAGAGUGUAAAAUUUUCUAAAUGACAAAAGUGGAAA